GCUCCAGACUCCUACUGGAGGCAUCAUUUAGGAAUAUUGUUCAAUGGGCGAUCUCCUUAACCAGCCCCUUCUCGUGAAGUCUUCCUGCCCUACUUUUUUUAAACUUCUUUUUUCAGGGAGCCCUUUUUUCCACGCUUUUUCUUAGCGAGCUUCCCUGAAGAAACCUCCUCGGCUAACUCCUUUCCAGCAGCCUCUUUCAUACGGAUUCUUCUAGCGUUAUCCGGAUUUAUUGGGUGUAAAGGGUGCGUAGGAGGAAUAUCAAGGAAGAGGUAAAAAUUAGGGGAUCAACCCAGUAGUGCCGUUGAAAAUGGUCUUCUUGAGUGAGCGAGAAGGAUGCGGAAUGAGUGGUGUAGCGGUGAAAUGCAUAGAGAGAAAGCAGAACGAAGAGGGCGAAGGAAGAAGACCGGCGCUAAACUGACGCUGAGGCACGAAAGCGUGGGGAGAGAACAGGAUUAGAUACCCGAGUA
This 467-nucleotide ribosomal RNA is filed under the name uncultured bacterium. RNAcentral describes it as "bacterial SSU rRNA". It matches the Rfam family "Bacterial small subunit ribosomal RNA", at positions 328 to 792 of the family's 1533-position model. The record is from RNAcentral.